RNAcentral lists this ribosomal RNA (664 nucleotides) under uncultured bacterium. RNAcentral's name for it is "bacterial SSU rRNA". It matches the Rfam family "Bacterial small subunit ribosomal RNA", at positions 100 to 754 of the family's 1533-position model. The record is from RNAcentral.
GGACGGAGUAACCUUCCGAGGUACCGGGUAAUGGGGGAUAACUAGUCAAAGAUUAGGAAAUACCGUUUGUUCUCUGAGGAUGGUAGCAGGGGUCCUUCGGGCCUUGGGUUGUUCUUAUGGCCCAAAUCUGAUUAGCUAGUUGGUGGCGGAAAGGCCCACCAAGGCGACAAUCAGCAGAGGGUCUGAGAGGAUGAUCCGGACACUGGGACUGAGACACGCCCCCCACUCCUACGGGAGGGAAAUUUGGGGAAUUUUGGACACUGUGCCCGACCCUGGUCCCGCCAUGCCGCGUGUCUGAAUAAGGGUUUCCGGUUGUAAAGGACUUUUGUCAGAGAAGAAGAAGACAGGGGUGUUACCCCUGUCCGAUGACCGUACCUUAACACUAUGCCCCAGCUAACUACCUGCCAACAGCCGCGGCAAUACCUAGAGUUCUGGGGUUAAUCCGAAUUACUGGGCGAAAGCCAAAUGCAGACCGUUAUUUAGGCUACAUGUGAAAAUCCCCGGGUUUCACCUUUGAGACCUGGCGUACUGGAAUUGGCGGGAGUAAAAUCGUGUCCCUAGGGAGAGAAGAGUUCCCCUGUGUAGAAGUGAAAUUGCCAUACAGAUGGGAGAAGGAAUACCCCAUGGGCGAAGGCCUGCCUCCCUGGGGACAACGCUGAAGUUC